AGUGAACGCUGGCGGUAGGCCUAACACAUGCAAGUCGAACGGCAGCACAGUAAGAGCUUGCUCUUACGGGUGGCGAGUGGCGGACGGGUGAGGAAUACAUCGGAAUCUACUUUUUCGGGGGGGAUAACGUAGGGAAACUUACGCUAAUACCGCAUACGAUCUACGGGUGAAAGCAGGGGUUCUUCGGACCUUGCGCGAUUGAAUGAGCCGAUGUCGGAUUAGCUAGUUGGCUGGGUAAUGGCCGACCAAGGCGACGAUCCAUAACUGGCCUGAGAGGGUGAUGGGCCAACCUGGAACUGAAAAACGGUCCAGACUCCUAGGGGAGGCAGCGGAGGGGAAUAUUGGACAAUGGGCGCAAGCCGGACCCAGCCAGACCGGGUAGGUGAAGAAGGCCUUCGGGUUGUAAAGCCCGUUUGUUGGGAAAGAAAAGCAGCAGGUUAAUACCCCGCUGUUCUGACGGUACCCAAAGAAUAAGCACCGGCUAACUUCGUG
RNAcentral lists this ribosomal RNA (492 nucleotides) under uncultured bacterium. Its description in RNAcentral is "partial 16S ribosomal RNA". It matches the Rfam family "Bacterial small subunit ribosomal RNA", at positions 29 to 507 of the family's 1533-position model. The record is from RNAcentral.